Molecule: small nuclear RNA, 141 nt
Filed under: Panthera leo (lion)
Lineage: Eukaryota; Metazoa; Chordata; Mammalia; Carnivora; Felidae
Description: U2 spliceosomal RNA (ENSPLOG00000000746.1)
Rfam family: U2 spliceosomal RNA
About the family: U2 is a small nuclear RNA (snRNA) component of the spliceosome (involved in pre-mRNA splicing). Complementary binding between U2 snRNA (in an area lying towards the 5' end but 3' to hairpin I) and the branchpoint sequence (BPS) of the intron results the bulging out of an unpaired adenosine, on the BPS, which initiates a nucleophilic attack at the intronic 5' splice site, thus starting the first of two transesterification reactions that mediate splicing.
Source: Rfam by way of RNAcentral
AUCACUUCUCGGCCUUUUGGCUAAGAUCAAGUGUAGAAAUUUUUUCCCUGUUUCCAUUUUGGUAAGUUGUAUUUUUCUAGAAAAUUUCUGUUUACCUACAUUCUGAAAUUUACUGAAACAAAGUUGUUCAUAAUAUCCUUU